CCAAGGCAACGAUGCAUAGCCGACCUGAGAGGGUGAUCGGCCACAUUGGGACUGAGACACGGCCCAAACUCCUACGGGAGGCAGCAGUAGGGAAUCUUCGGCAAUGGACGAAAGUCUGACCGAGCAACGCCGCGUGAGUGAAGAAGGUUUUCGGAUCGUAAAACUCUGUUGUUAGAGAAGAACAAGGGUGAGAGUAGAAAGUUCACCCCUUGACGGUAUCUAACCAGAAAGCCACGGCUAACUACGUGCCAGCAGCCGCGGUAAUACGUAGGUGGCAAGCGUUGUCCGGAUUUAUUGGGCGUAAAGCGAGCGCAGGCGGUUUCUUAAGUCUGAUGUGAAAGCCCCCGGCUCAACCGGGGAGGGUCAUUGGAAACUGGGAAACUUGAGUGCAGAAGAGGAGAGUGGAAUUCCAUGUGUAGCGGUGAAAUGCGUAGAUAUAUGGAGGAACACCAGUGGCGAAGGCGGCUCUCUGGUCUGUAACUGACGCUGAGGCUCGAAAGCGUGGGGAGCAAACAGGAUUAGAUACCCUGGUAGUCCACGCCGUAAACGAUGAGUGCUAAGUGUUGGAGGGUUUCCGCCCUUCAGUGCU
RNAcentral lists this ribosomal RNA (589 nucleotides) under Enterococcus pallens. RNAcentral's name for it is "bacterial SSU rRNA". It matches the Rfam family "Bacterial small subunit ribosomal RNA", at positions 268 to 847 of the family's 1533-position model. Lineage: Bacteria; Bacillati; Bacillota; Bacilli; Lactobacillales; Enterococcaceae. The record is from RNAcentral.